UGAACAUGAAGGGGGUUCUUCUUUGGAGGUAAGACAGCUUACUGAGUUUGGAGAAGGAACAAAGAGACUUUUCCGAACCACCGAACCAAAGGACUCAUCUAGGGUGAGCUCAAUGAAUCUAAAAUCGGGAACACACAUUGCAGCCCCUGUUUGGGAAAUCAGCUUAAGAGCAAUCUCAAGUCUCCACAAGAGGCGGAGGUCCAUAUUCCAAAAUAAUGUGAGCCUUCAGUUAUUUGUAGGUAGAAUUCAAUGGAAGAAGGGGUGUUAUAGAUACGAAAAAUCGUGGCUGGCGUUACCAACAUUAAAUGACUCGUGGUGAUGGGGUAAGUUGACAAGUGAAAUCCAGUCUCUUCCUAAACAAACGUAUCUUUGUAAUGAAGAGCUCGUUUUUGCAGCUUCAGUACAUCUGGAGGCAUCGAAUAGCAAACGCUGCCAAAGGAGUAGUCCCUGGAUUAUCAGGAGUUGCAGAGUGUGUAAAGUGUUGUAAACCUUGAAAUUAGUCCUGGACUGAAGGCACUUUCCCUCCUCCCAGACUCGCUUCUCUCUGACACAUUUCCCCUUUCAAUGGAAAGUCUAUGGCAGUCAGGUCCACUCAGCUCAGACUUCAAGUAUGUGAGACCACAGGUUCCCACCUUAACUGGUCACCCAUUGAGGGACAGCACAAGACCCCGGUGCUGGCGCCAACGCUGAGCUGCGCCCUCUCGGUUACCAUGGCGACCGCAGGCGGGGCGAGGCCCCCACUCGCC
This 746-nucleotide long non-coding RNA is filed under the name Homo sapiens (human). RNAcentral's name for it is "non-protein coding lnc-PBX3-1:1". The record is from RNAcentral. Lineage: Eukaryota; Metazoa; Chordata; Mammalia; Primates; Hominidae.